GACGAACGCUGGCGGCGUGCUUAACACAUGCAAGUCGAACGGAAAGGCCCCUUUGGGGGUACUCGAGUGGCGAACGGGUGAGUAACACGUGAGUAACCUGCCCUUGACUUCGGGAUAACUUCAGGAAACUGGGGCUAAUACCGGAUAGGAAUCCUUGCUGCAUGGUGGGGGUUGGAAAGCUUCGGCGGUUUUGGAUGGACUCGCGCCGUAUCAGCUUGUUGGUGGGGUAGUGGCUUACCAAGGCUUUGACGGGUAGCCGGCCUGAGAGGGCGACCGGCCACAGUGGGACUGAGAGACGGCCCAGACGCCGACGGGAGGCAGCAGGGGGGAAUAUUGCACAAGGGGCGGAAGCCGGAUGCAGCAACGCCGCGGGCGGGAGGACGGCCUUCGGGUUGGAAACCGCGUUCAGCAGGGGCGAAGCUUGUGGUGACGGUACCUGCAGAAGAAGCACCGGCUAACUACGUG
RNAcentral lists this ribosomal RNA (465 nucleotides) under uncultured bacterium. RNAcentral describes it as "partial 16S ribosomal RNA". It matches the Rfam family "Bacterial small subunit ribosomal RNA", at positions 28 to 507 of the family's 1533-position model. The record is from RNAcentral.